UACGUAGGCAGCGAGCGUUGUUCGGAGUUACUGGGCGUAAAGGGUGUGUAGGCGGUUGUUUAAGUUUGGUGUGAAAUCUCCCGGCUCAACUGGGAGGGUGCGCCGAAUACUGAAUGACUAGAGUGCGGGAGAGGAAAGUGGAAUUCCUGGUGUAGCGGUGAAAUGCGUAGAUAUCAGGAGGAACACCGGUGAUGUAGACGGCUUUCUGGACCGUAACUGACGCUGAGACACGAAAGCGUGGGUAGCAAACAGG
This 253-nucleotide ribosomal RNA is filed under the name uncultured bacterium. RNAcentral's name for it is "partial 16S ribosomal RNA". It matches the Rfam family "Bacterial small subunit ribosomal RNA", at positions 524 to 776 of the family's 1533-position model. The record is from RNAcentral.